Molecule: ribosomal RNA, 440 nt
Filed under: uncultured bacterium
Lineage: Bacteria
Description: partial 16S ribosomal RNA
Rfam family: Bacterial small subunit ribosomal RNA
Source: RNAcentral
CCUACGGGUGGCAGCAGUGGGGAAUAUUGCACAAUGGGGGAAACCCUGAUGCAGCGACGCCGCGUGAGUGAAGAAGGAAUUAGUGAUGGAAAGCUCUAUCAGCAGGGAAGAAAAUGACGGUACCUGAGUAAGAAGCCCCGGCUAACUACGGGCCAGCAGCCGCGGUAAUACGUAGGGGGCAAGCGUUAUCCGGAUUUACGGGGUGUAAAGGGAGCGUAGACGGGGGGGCAAGUCUGGAGUGAAAGGGGGGGGCUCAACCCCCGGACUGCUGUGGAAACUGUACGGCUUGAGUGCAGGAGAGGUAAGUGGAAUGCCUGGUGUAGCGGUGAAAUGCGUAGAUAUUAGGAGGAACACCAGUGGCGAAGGCGGCUUACUGGACUGUAACUGACGUUGAGGCUCGAAAGCGUGGGGAGCAAACAGGAUUAGAUACCCUGGUAGUC